GAUGAACGCUGGCGGCGUGCCUAAUACAUGCAAGUCGAGCGAACGGACGAGAAGCUUGCUUCUCUGAUGUUAGCGGCGGACGGGGGAGUAACACGUGGAUAACCUACCUAUAAGACUGGGAUAACUUCGGGAAACCGGAGCUAAUACCGGAUAAUAUUUUGAACCGCAUGGUUCAAAAGUAAAAGACGGUCUUGCUGUCACUUAUAGAUGGAUCCGCGCUGCAUUAGCUAGUUGGUAAGGUAACGGCUUACCAAGGCAACGAUGCAUAGCCGACCUGAGAGGGUGAUCGGCCACACUGGAACUGAGACACGGUCCAGACUCCUACGGGAGGCAGCAGUAGGGAAUCUUCCGCAAUGGGCGAAAGCCUGACGGAGCAACGCCGCGUGAGUGAUGAAGGUCUUCGGAUCGUAAAACUCUGCUAUUAGGGAAGAACAUAUGUGUAAGUAACUGUGCACAUCUUGACGGUACCUAAUCAGAAAGCCACGGCUAACUACGUG
This 497-nucleotide ribosomal RNA is filed under the name uncultured bacterium. RNAcentral's name for it is "partial 16S ribosomal RNA". It matches the Rfam family "Bacterial small subunit ribosomal RNA", at positions 28 to 507 of the family's 1533-position model. The record is from RNAcentral.